This is a long non-coding RNA of Carassius carassius (crucian carp), 1371 nucleotides long. RefSeq lists it as uncharacterized. Lineage: Eukaryota; Metazoa; Chordata; Actinopteri; Cypriniformes; Cyprinidae. The transcript is spliced from 4 exons. The record is from RefSeq and is a predicted model, not a curated record.
UUAUAAUGUAUAUUUUAUUGUAAAAUAAAUUAACACAAAUUUGUACACAUGCUGUUAUGAGGAUGUCCUGUUAACAUUUGUUUUCCUUGAAUGAUAUCAUACUCAUAAAUACUUCCUGUUCCUAAUAGACAUAAUAUGAACCCUUUAUUUUACUCAAGACAUUUUUGGCCUAUUUUAUGAGCUGUGAAGAUACUUUGCACCUGGCAAAACAAGUACACAAGUCUAAUUUUUCUGUACUGAUGUGAUUUAAUAUGAAAAAUUCAGUAGCGGCACUACUAAUAUAGUUGCUCUGUCAUGAUAAAUUGCUUGUUCUUUUCCUUAUUUAUAAGUCACUUUGGAGAAAAGCGGCUACUAAAUGAAUAAAUGUAAGUAAUUUAAUGUCACACACAGAUAGAGAUAUAAGAGGGAGCAGUGAAAUGAUUAGAGGAAGAGCCAUUCCAAUUCAGAGUCCAAAGCCACAGAAGACCUUCAGACACACACACGUACACGCUCUCUCACAAGGCCAUGAUAAAAAAUUUAUGACCUGCUUACACAUCUGAGGCAUCAAUUUCCCUCACAGGAAAUUAAUAAAAGCGGCUGGAGAGAAAUCAGGUGCAUGAGAUUGUACAUGGGUUUUUUUGUUUCUUUUUGUGUUUGUGUCUAUGAAUCAGCCUUCCACAUUCAAUGUUGUGUAAAAUAAAAUUCAAUCUAAUCCACACUAACAUGAUUUUUUUGUCAGCUUGUGUGUGCAUCUGUGCUUGAGUUACUAUUGUCUGAGAGGAGAUGCGAUGAAAUGGCUCUAUAUUAACACCGUAUGAAGGUCAUACAUACAAAGUUAUGUUCUGUUGUAUAGCCUUACAAGUUGGCUGUUCAAACCUCCCUCAUUUUUGAGCAUUAAAAUAAGCCAAUGAUCCUCGGAAUUGCUAUAUAGGUCUCUUCUUUACUAGGUUUUGCCAUUAAUUUACACUUUACCAAUAAUAACGUGUUUGUUUACCUGCAGAGUCAUUGGAGAUUCGGAUCAGCUUAUGUCCGUGGCAUUAGAGUGUAUCUACAGCUGUGAGAGAGACGACCAGCUUGCACUCUGCUAUAAUAUUCUUGAAUGUCUGCUACAGAGAGGAUAUGGACCAGAUUUGGACUCUACAAAAGCCUUGCAUGACUAGGUGGACCCUCUUGAGAAACACUUGCGUGUUGUUUAGGUGUUGGAGAAACACGUCCUCCAGAAGCCCAUCUCGUUCGUGAGGAACAGUCAAAAUGGCAAAGAGGAAGUUCACCAGCUGAUGGUCCUACUCAACCGUCACACAGGACACAAAAACCCUCCUGUGAGUGGGAGAGUGUGGAGAAGUUUACUUCAAGAUCUCCUGGACAUGCAGCAGAAUGUUUAUACCUGUCUAG